RNAcentral lists this ribosomal RNA (502 nucleotides) under uncultured soil bacterium. Its description in RNAcentral is "bacterial SSU rRNA". It matches the Rfam family "Bacterial small subunit ribosomal RNA", at positions 26 to 524 of the family's 1533-position model. The record is from RNAcentral.
AGAUUGAACGCUGGCGGCAUGCCUUACACAUGCAAGUCGAACGGCAGCACGGGGGCAACCCUGGUGGCGAGUGGCGAACGGGUGAGUAAUACAUCGGAACGUAUCCUGUAGCGGGGGAUAACCUCUCGAAAGAGAGGCUAAUACCGCAUACGACCUACGGGUGAAAGAGGGGGAUCGCAAGACCUCUCACUAUUGGAGCGGCCGAUGUCGGAUUAGCUAGUUGGUAGGGUAAAAGCCUACCAAGGCUACGAUCCGUAGCUGGUCUGAGAGGACGACCAGCCACACUGGAACUGAGACACGGUCCAGACUCCUACGGGAGGCAGCAGUGGGGAAUUUUGGACAAUGGGCGCAAGCCUGAUCCAGCCAUGCCGCGUGAGUGAAGAAGGCCUCGGGUGUAAAGCUCUUUCGUCGGAAGAAAAGGUUACGCGCUAACACCGCGGACUCAUGACGUACCGGCGAUAAGAAGACACCGGCUAACUACGUAGCCAGCAGCCGCGGUAAU